This 125-nucleotide small nucleolar RNA is filed under the name Nelumbo nucifera (sacred lotus). The record is from RNAcentral. Lineage: Eukaryota; Viridiplantae; Streptophyta; Magnoliopsida; Proteales; Nelumbonaceae.
AAGCAAGGGCAUCCAAAAAUUAGAUGACGCAACUUGUAUUAAACGUUGGAAAUAAUAGUCAACGAUUCUCCAUGCCUAGCAAAUCCACUCCAUUUUGAAUAUGGCAUCGAACAAGUCGCUACAUU